Long non-coding RNA from Zingiber officinale, 373 nucleotides. RefSeq lists it as uncharacterized. NCBI's taxonomy places the organism in Eukaryota, Viridiplantae, Streptophyta, Magnoliopsida, Zingiberales, Zingiberaceae. The transcript has 2 exons. The record is from RefSeq and is a predicted model, not a curated record.
AGCAAGAAUAUCUCAUUGUUUAGAUGAGGACAGCUGCCUUGCCAUAGUUUAGAAAACUCCAUGGGAGAAUUGAGAGAGACCUCGCAGCCAAUGAACAAAUCUCAAUGACAAUAGAGAACAACUACAACACUUACAAUUUUGAAGGGGAGAAGAGGACCCUUGGAGAUCCAUCGUACUUAUCUUGGAACAGAAACCCAGAUGGACAUUAGUGAAACUUUAAGCUCAAGUUGCAUUCAAAAGUUGGUAAAGUUACAAAUUUAGUUGCUCUAAAUCAAAGUCUGCCAAUCAUGUGCAAACAAUUUUCUUUGAGAAUUCUGUAAUCUGUAACUUCAAUAGAGACCAAAGGAAAUACAAUGUUAGAUCGUUGUGCAAA